AUUGAACGCUGGCGGCAGGCUUAACACAUGCAAGUCGAGCGAGCGGCGGACGGGUGUGUAAUGUCUGGGAAACUGCCUGAUGGAGGGGGAUAACUACUGGAAACGGUAGCAAAUACCGCAUACCAUCAGAUGUGCCCAUAGGGGAUUAGCUAGUAGGUGGGGUAAGGGCUCCCCUAGGCGACGAUCCCUAGCUGGGCUGAGAGGAUGACCAGCGACACUGGAACUGGGACACGGCCCAGACGCCUACGGGAGGCAGCAGUGGGGAAUAUUGCACAAUGGGCGCAAGCCUGAUGCAGCCAUGCCGCGUGUGUGAAGAAGGCCUUCGGGUUGUAAAGCACUUUCAGCGCGGAGGCGUUACUCGCAGAAGAAGCACCGGCUAACUCCGUGCCAGCAGCCGCGGUAAUAC
RNAcentral lists this ribosomal RNA (406 nucleotides) under uncultured bacterium. RNAcentral describes it as "partial 16S ribosomal RNA". It matches the Rfam family "Bacterial small subunit ribosomal RNA", at positions 29 to 526 of the family's 1533-position model. The record is from RNAcentral.